AUUGAACGCUGGCGGCAUGCUUUACACAUGCAAGUCGAACGGUAACAGGCCGCAAGGUGCUGACGAGUGGCGAACGGGUGAGUAAUGCAUCGGAACGUGCCCAGUCGUGGGGGAUAACUACUCGAAAGAGUAGCUAAUACCGCAUACGAUCUAUGGAUGAAAGCGGGGGACCGUAAGGCCUCGCGCGAUUGGAGCGGCCGAUGUCAGAUUAGGUAGUUGGUGGGGUAAAGGCUCACCAAGCCAACGAUCUGUAGCUGGUCUGAGAGGACGACCAGCCACACUGGGACUGAGACACGGCCCAGACUCCUACGGGAGGCAGCAGUGGGGAAUUUUGGACAAUGGGCGCAAGCCUGAUCCAGCAAUGCCGCGUGCAGGAAGAAGGCCUUCGGGUUGUAAACUGCUUUUGUACGGAACGAAACGGCGCUGGUUAAUACCCGGGGCUAAUGACGGUACCGUAAGAAUAAGCACCGGCUAACUACGUG
Molecule: ribosomal RNA, 482 nt
Filed under: uncultured bacterium
Lineage: Bacteria
Description: partial 16S ribosomal RNA
Rfam family: Bacterial small subunit ribosomal RNA
Source: RNAcentral